RNAcentral lists this ribosomal RNA (366 nucleotides) under uncultured bacterium. RNAcentral describes it as "partial 16S ribosomal RNA". It matches the Rfam family "Bacterial small subunit ribosomal RNA", at positions 338 to 721 of the family's 1533-position model. The record is from RNAcentral.
CCUACGGGUGGCAGCAGUGGGGAAUAUUGCACAAUGGGGGAAACCCUGAUGCAGCAACGCCGCGUGAGUGAAGAAGUAUUUCGGUAUGUAAAGCUCUAUCAGCAGGGAAGAAGAUGACGGUACCUGAGUAAGAAGCCCCGGCUAACUACGUGCCAGCAGCCGCGGUAAUACGUAGGGGGCAAGCGUUAUCCGGAUUUACUGGGUGGAAAGGGAGCGUAGACGGAGAGACAAGUCGGAAGGGAAAGCCCGGGGAUCAACCCCGGGACUGCUUGGGAAACUGCCUGACUGGAGUGAUGGAGAGGAAAGCGGAAUUGCGAGGGUAGCGGGGAAAUGCGGAGAUAUUAGGAAGAAAACCAGUGGCGAGGG